Molecule: ribosomal RNA, 468 nt
Filed under: uncultured bacterium
Lineage: Bacteria
Description: partial 16S ribosomal RNA
Rfam family: Bacterial small subunit ribosomal RNA
Source: RNAcentral
GACGAACGCUGGCGGCGUGCUUAACACAUGCAAGUCGAACGGAAAGGCCCUGCUUUUGUGGGGUGCUCGAGUGGCGAACGGGUGUGUAACACGUGAGUAACCUGCCCUUGACUUUGGGAUAACUUCAGGAAACUGGGGCUAAUACCGGAUAGGAGCUCCUGCUGCAUGGUGGGGGUUGGAAAGUUUCGGCGGUUGGGGAUGGACUCGCGGCUUAUCAGCUUGUUGGUGGGGUAGUGGCUUACCAAGGCUUUGACGGGUAGCCGGCCUGAGAGGGUGACCAGCGACAAUGGGACUGAGAGACGGCCCAGACUCCUACGGGAGGCAGCAGUGGGGAAUAUGGCACAAUGGGCGGAAGCCAGAUGCAGCAACGCCGCGUGCGGGAUGACGGCCUUCGAGGUGUAAACCGCUGUCGCCGGUGACGAAGCGUGAGUGACGGUAAUGGGUAAAGAAGCACCGGCUAACUACGUG